CUCAGGACGAACGCUGGCGGCAUGCCUAACACAUGCAAGUCGAACGGAGUAAUGACUUCGGUAUACUAGUGGCGAACGGGUGAGUAACACGUGAAUAAUCUGCCCUGUACGAUGGGAUAACAGCUGGAAACGGCUGCUAAUACCGUAUAUGACCACGCCGAGGCAUCUCGGAGGGGUGAAAGCGCUUAAGCGGUACAGGAUGAGUUCGCGUCCAAUUAGCUAGUUGGUGAGGUAACGGCCCACCAAGGCGACGAUUGGUAGCCGACCUGAGAGGGUGAUCGGCCACACUGGAACUGAGACACGGUCCAGACUCCUACGGGAGGCAGCAGUGGGGAAUAUUGGGCAAUGGAGGAAACUCUUACCCAGCAAUGCCGCGUGAGUGAUGAAGGUCUUCGGAUUGUAAAGCUCUUUGAUUGGGGACGAAUAAAUGACGGUACCCAAGGAACAAGCCCCGGCUAACUAUGUGCCAGCCGCUGC
This 477-nucleotide ribosomal RNA is filed under the name uncultured bacterium. RNAcentral's name for it is "bacterial SSU rRNA". It matches the Rfam family "Bacterial small subunit ribosomal RNA", at positions 23 to 518 of the family's 1533-position model. The record is from RNAcentral.